This 251-nucleotide long non-coding RNA is filed under the name Elaeis guineensis (African oil palm). RNAcentral describes it as "long non-coding RNA (EGUI_LNC049726)". The record is from RNAcentral. Lineage: Eukaryota; Viridiplantae; Streptophyta; Magnoliopsida; Arecales; Arecaceae.
UAUGGGUAUCCAUUCAGGAUCGGCCUAAAAUAGUCCUCUAGAAUUUAAAUUUUUUUUCUAAGAAAAUUCAGCCUACUGAAUCUGAACGAAGCCUGGAUUGCGAUCAACACUUGACCUCUUUAUUUGAUCUUCUUCUUCUCUUGCCUUUGUCUCUUGCUUUGUGCUGCUACCAGGGAUCAAGAACCAGCAAGAUAGGACACCCAACUAGCUCUUGGUGUGAGGAAGAAGGGACACCCCAAAUAAUGGUGGAC